Molecule: long non-coding RNA, 787 nt
Organism: Dromaius novaehollandiae (emu)
Lineage: Eukaryota; Metazoa; Chordata; Aves; Casuariiformes; Dromaiidae
Exons: 5
Source: RefSeq, a predicted model, not a curated record
GGCGGAGCCAAUCGGGAGCGCGGCGCCCGUUUGAUUUCAAACGGCCGCGCGCGGUCCCCUCUCUCAGCCCGAGGAUUCCCGCUCGGCGCCGCCGCCCCUCCGGUUUAAAUGGCGGCUUCGCUGGGCUGAGGGGGGCCUUCCUCAGCGAGAGGGGCGGGUGCGGCUCCCCCGAGGCCCAGGCUUGCGCCUCCUUCACCCCUAGGCUUGUCUGAGCCUCAGGAGAGCUGCGCAGAACUGGUUCCUGCUCUCCCCCCGCCUCGCCUGGAGUUCGUGCUGGGAGCUGAAAUUCGAGACUGUGUAAACUCAGAGCAGCCGCAGGCUGUACUUCAUAUAUGCAGAAAAACCUUCUAAUGAGCGUGGCCUUAUGAAAAGAUUAAGUGCAAAUGCAUGUAUCCUCAGCUGGAUACAUAAGAAGUCUGGGGAAAAACGAACAGAAGGGCAGCUUCUUUAAAUCUGACUCUCGGAACUUCAUUUCCUGAGACUGAAAACUGAAAGGCAAAGCACGGUCAGAAAGAGCAGCGACCAGGCAAAGGAGAAAAGCAAGCAAGGCUCUUCAAGACUCCCAGCAGUCCUGUGCAGUUCAUGAAGGAGUGCUGAAAGGCAGAGACCACGGCAGCAGAAGAGCGGAGGUACACGGAUGGCAGCUAGAGACACGCUGGAAGAGAAGGGAGGAGACCAUCUACGCCCUCAAAAAAGAAAACUGCCAUGACAGCAGCCAGGCGAGAAAAGGGACGACACGGUUCCUUAGCCAGCCGGAGGCAGGCGGGAGGCGAGCCCUACCUGCAGU